UACGAAGGGGGCUAGCGUUGUUCGGAUUUACUGGGCGUAAAGCGCACGUAGGCGGAUCUUUAAGUCAGAGGUGAAAUCCCAAGGCUCAACCUUGGAACUGCCUUUGAUACUGGGGAUCUUGAGUCCGGGAGAGGUGAGUGGAACUGCGAGUGUAGAGGUGAAAUUCGUAGAUAUUCGCAAGAACACCAGUGGCGAAGGCGGCUCACUGGCCCGAUACUGACGCUGAGGCACGAAAGCGUGGGGAGCAAACAGG
RNAcentral lists this ribosomal RNA (253 nucleotides) under uncultured bacterium. RNAcentral's name for it is "partial 16S ribosomal RNA". It matches the Rfam family "Bacterial small subunit ribosomal RNA", at positions 524 to 776 of the family's 1533-position model. The record is from RNAcentral.